CGGCGGACGGGUGAGUAAUGCUUAGGAAUCUGCCCAGUAGUGGGGGAUAGCCCGGGGAAACCCGGAUUAAUACCGCAUACGUCCUACGGGAGAAAGCAGGGGAUCUUCGGACCUUGCGCUAUUGGAUGAGCCUAAGUCGGAUUAGCUAGUUGGUGGGGUAAAGGCCUACCAAGGCGACGAUCCGUAGCUGGUCUGAGAGGAUGAUCAGCCACAUCGGGACUGAGACACGGCCCGAACUCCUACGGGAGGCAGCAGUGGGGAAUAUUGGACAAUGGGGGCAACCCUGAUCCAGCCAUGCCGCGUGUGUGAAGAAGGCUUUCGGGUUGUAAAGCACUUUCAGUAGGGAGGAAAACCUUAUGGUUAAUACCCAUGAGGCUUGACGUUACCUACAGAAGAAGCACCGGCUAACUCCGUGCCAGCAGCCGCGGUAAUACGGAGGGUGCAAGCGUUAAUCGGAAUUACUGGGCGUAAAGCGCGCGUAGGUGGUUUGGUAAGCGAGAUGUGAAAGCCCCGGGCUUAACCUGGGAACGGCAUUUCGAACUGUCAGACUAGAGUGUGGUAGAGGG
RNAcentral lists this ribosomal RNA (566 nucleotides) under Marinobacter nauticus. Its description in RNAcentral is "bacterial SSU rRNA". It matches the Rfam family "Bacterial small subunit ribosomal RNA", at positions 96 to 658 of the family's 1533-position model. The record is from RNAcentral. Lineage: Bacteria; Pseudomonadati; Pseudomonadota; Gammaproteobacteria; Pseudomonadales; Marinobacteraceae.